AACCCUGAGGCGUGAUGACGAUGCACUACGGUGCAGAAGUAGUUGAUGCCCUGCUUCCAGGAAAAUCCUCUAAGCUCCAGGUAACAUUAAAUCGUACCCCAAACCGACACAGGUGGUCAGGUAGAGAAUACCAAGGCGCUUGAGAGAACUCGGGUGAAGGAACUAGGCAAAAUGGUGCCGUAACUUCGGGAGAAGGCACGCUGGCAUGUAGGUGAAGUCCCUUGCGGAUGGAGCUGAAGCCAGUCGAAGAUACCAGCUGGCUGCAACUGUUUAAUAAAAACACAGCACUGUGCAAACACGAAAGUGGACGUAUACGGUGUGACGCCUGCCCGGUGCUGGAAGGUUAAUUGAUGGGGUCAGCCGCAAGGCGAAGCUCUUGAUCGAAGCCCCAGUAAACGGCGGCCGUAACUAUAACGGUCCUAAGGUAGCGAAAUUCCUUGUCGGGUAAGUUCCGACCUGCACGAAUGGCGUAAUGAUGGCCAGGCUGUCUCCACCCGAGACUCAGUGAAAUUGAACUCGCUGUGAAGAUGCAGUGUACCCGCGGCAAGACGGAAAGACCCCGUGAACCUUUACUAUAGCUUGACACUGAACAUUGAGCCUUGAUGUGUAGGAUAGGUGGGAGGCUUUGAAGCGUGGACGCCAGUCUGCGUGGAGCCAUCCUUGAAAUACCACCCUUUAAUGUUUGAUGUUCUAACUCGGCCCCGUGAUCCGGGGUGAGGACAGUGUCUGGUGGGUAGUUUGACUGGGGCGGUCUCCUCCCAAAGAGUAACGGAGGAGCACGAAGGUUAGCUAAUCACGGUCGGACAUCGUGAGGUUAGUGCAAAGGCAUAAGCUAGCUUGACUGCGAGAGUGACGGCUCGAGCAGGUACGAAAGUAGGUCUUAGUGAUCCGGUGGUUCUGAAUGGAAGGGCCAUCGCUCAACGGAUAAAAGGUACUCCGGGGAUAACAGGCUGAUACCGCCCAAGAGUUCAUAUCGACGGCGGUGUUUGGCACCUCGAUGUCGGCUCAUCACAUCCUGGGGCUGAAGUAGGUCCCAAGGGUAUGGCUGUUCGCCAUUUAAAGUGGUACGCGAGCUGGGUUUAGAACGUCGUGAGACAGUUCGGUCCCUAUCUGCCGUGGGCGUUGGAAGAUUGAGAGGGGUUGCUCCUAGUACGAGAGGACCGGAGUGAACGCACCACUGGUGUUCGGGUUGUCAUGCCAAUGGCAUUGCCCGGUAGCUAAGUGCGGAAAAGAUAAGCGCUGAAAGCAUCUAAGCGCGAAACUUGCCUCAAGAUGAGUCUUCCCUGGGCCUUUAAGGCCCCUGAAGGAACGUUUAAGACUAAGACGUUGAUAGGCUGGGUGUGUAAGUGCAGCGAUGCAUUGAGCUAACCAGUACUAAUGAUCCGUGAGGCUUAACC
Molecule: ribosomal RNA, 1397 nt
Filed under: Serratia marcescens
Lineage: Bacteria; Pseudomonadati; Pseudomonadota; Gammaproteobacteria; Enterobacterales; Yersiniaceae
Description: bacterial LSU rRNA
Rfam family: Bacterial large subunit ribosomal RNA
Source: RNAcentral